GGAGAAGUACCCAAGUGGCUGAAGGGUCCGCACUCGAAAUGCGGUAGGUCGGGCGACCGGCGCAUGGGUUCAAAUCCCAUCUUCUCCG
This 88-nucleotide transfer RNA is filed under the name Anaerocolumna sp. MB42-C2. RNAcentral's name for it is "tRNA-Ser". It matches the Rfam family "tRNA". Rfam says of the family: Transfer RNA (tRNA) molecules are approximately 80 nucleotides in length. Their secondary structure includes four short double-helical elements and three loops (D, anti-codon, and T loops). The record is from RNAcentral. Lineage: Bacteria; Bacillati; Bacillota; Clostridia; Lachnospirales; Lachnospiraceae.